UUAAGCGACUAAGCGUACACGGUGGAUGCCCUGGCAGUCAGAGGCGAUGAAGGGCGUGCUAAUCUGCGAUAAGCGCCGGUAAGGUGAUAUGAACCGUUAUAACCGGCGAUACCCGAAUGGGGAAACCCAGUGUGAUUCGUCACACUAUCAUUAACUGAAUCCAUAGGUUAAUGAGGCGAACCGGGGGAACUGAAACAUCUAAGUACCCCGAGGAAAAGAAAUCAACCGAGAUUCCCCCAGUAGCGGCGAGCGAACGGGGAGGAGCCCAGAGCCUGAAUCAGCAUGUGUGUUAGUGGAAGCGUCUGGAAAGUCGCGCGAUACAGGGUGACAGCCCCGUACACAAAAGCGCAUGUGUUGUGAGCUCGAUGAGUAGGGCGGGACACGUGGUAUCCUGUCUGAAUAUGGGGGGACCAUCCUCCAAGGCUAAAUACUCCUGACUGACCGAUAGUGAACCAGUACCGUGAGGGAAAGGCGAAAAGAACCCCGGCGAGGGGAGUGAAAAAGAACCUGAAACCGUGUACGUACAAGCAGUGGGAGCACAGGUUUACCUGUGUGACUGCGUACCUUUUGUAUAAUGGGUCAGCGACUUAUAUUCUGUAGCAAGGUUAACCGUAUAGGGGAGCCGUAGGGAAACCGAGUCUUAACCGGGCGUUAAGUUGCAGGGUAUAGACCCGAAACCCGGUGAUCUAGCCAUGGGCAGGUUGAAGGUUGGGUAACACUAACUGGAGGACCGAACCGACUAAUGUUGAAAAAUUAGCGGAUGACCUGUGGCUGGGGGUGAAAGGCCAAUCAAACCGGGAGAUAGCUGGUUCUCCCCGAAAGCUAUUUAGGUAGCGCCUCGUGAAUUCAUCUCCGGGGGUAGAGCACUGUUUCGGCUAGGGGGCCAUCCCGGCUUACCAACCCGAUGCAAACUGCGAAUACCGGAGAAUGUUAUCACGGGAGACACACGGCGGGUGCUAACGUCCGUCGUGAAGAGGGAAACAACCCAGACCGCCAGCUAAGGUCCCAAAGUCAUGGUUAAGUGGGAAACGAUGUGGGAAGGCCCAGACAGCCAGGAUGUUGGCUUAGAAGCAGCCAUCAUUUAAAGAAAGCGUAAUAGCUCACUGGUCGAGUCGGCCUGCGCGGAAGAUGUAACGGGGCUAAACCAUGCACCGAAGCUGCGGCAGCGACACUGUGUGUUGUUGGGUAGGGGAGCGUUCUGUAAGCCUGUGAAGGUGGCCUGUGAGGGUUGCUGGAGGUAUCAGAAGUGCGAAUGCUGACAUAAGUAACGAUAAAGCGGGUGAAAAGCCCGCUCGCCGGAAGACCAAGGGUUCCUGUCCAACGUUAAUCGGGGCAGGGUGAGUCGACCCCUAAGGCGAGGCCGAAAGGCGUAGUCGAUGGGAAACGGGUUAAUAUUCCCGUACUUGGUGUUACUGCGAAGGGGGGACGGAGAAGGCUAUGUUGGCCGGGCGACGGUUGUCCCGGUUUAAGCGUGUAGGUGUGUGUUCCAGGUAAAUCCGGUUCACUUUAACACUGAGGCGUGAUGACGAGGCACUACGGUGCUGAAGCAACAAAUGCCCUGCUUCCAGGAAAAGCCUCUAAGCAUCAGGUAACAUCAAAUCGUACCCCAAACCGACACAGGUGGUCAGGUAGAGAAUACCAAGGCGCUUGAGAGAACUCGGGUGAAGGAACUAGGCAAAAUGGUGCCGUAACUUCGGGAGAAGGCACGCUGACACGUAGGUGAAGUGAUUUACUCAUGGAGCUGAAGUCAGUCGAAGAUACCAGCUGGCUGCAACUGUUUAUUAAAAACACAGCACUGUGCAAACACGAAAGUGGACGUAUACGGUGUGACGCCUGCCCGGUGCCGGAAGGUUAAUUGAUGGGGUCAGCGCAAGCGAAGCUCCUGAUCGAAGCCCCGGUAAACGGCGGCCGUAACUAUAACGGUCCUAAGGUAGCGAAAUUCCUUGUCGGGUAAGUUCCGACCUGCACGAAUGGCGUAAUGAUGGCCAGGCUGUCUCCACCCGAGACUCAGUGAAAUUGAACUCGCUGUGAAGAUGCAGUGUACCCGCGGCAAGACGGAAAGACCCCGUGAACCUUUACUAUAGCUUGACACUGAACAUUGAGCCUUGAUGUGUAGGAUAGGUGGGAGGCUUUGAAGCGUGGACGCCAGUCUGCGUGGAGCCGACCUUGAAAUACCACCCUUUAAUGUUUGAUGUUCUAACGUGGACCCGUAAUCCGGGUUGCGGACAGUGUCUGGUGGGUAGUUUGACUGGGGCGGUCUCCUCCUAAAGAGUAACGGAGGAGCACGAAGGUUGGCUAAUCCUGGUCGGACAUCAGGAGGUUAGUGCAAUGGCAUAAGCCAGCUUGACUGCGAGCGUGACGGCGCGAGCAGGUGCGAAAGCAGGUCAUAGUGAUCCGGUGGUUCUGAAUGGAAGGGCCAUCGCUCAACGGAUAAAAGGUACUCCGGGGAUAACAGGCUGAUACCGCCCAAGAGUUCAUAUCGACGGCGGUGUUUGGCACCUCGAUGUCGGCUCAUCACAUCCUGGGGCUGAAGUAGGUCCCAAGGGUAUGGCUGUUCGCCAUUUAAAGUGGUACGCGAGCUGGGUUUAGAACGUCGUGAGACAGUUCGGUCCCUAUCUGCCGUGGGCGCUGGAGAACUGAGGGGGGCUGCUCCUAGUACGAGAGGACCGGAGUGGACGCAUCACUGGUGUUCGGGUUGUCAUGCCAAUGGCACUGCCCGGUAGCUAAAUGCGGAAGAGAUAAGUGCUGAAAGCAUCUAAGCACGAAACUUGCCCCGAGAUGAGUUCUCCCUGAGACUUAGAGUCUCCUGAAGGAACGUUGAAGACGACGACGUUGAUAGGCCGGGUGUGUAAGCGCAGCGAUGCGUUGAGCUAACCGGUACUAAUGAACCGUGAGGCUUAACCUU
This 2905-nucleotide ribosomal RNA is filed under the name Salmonella enterica. Its description in RNAcentral is "bacterial LSU rRNA". It matches the Rfam family "Bacterial large subunit ribosomal RNA". Lineage: Bacteria; Pseudomonadati; Pseudomonadota; Gammaproteobacteria; Enterobacterales; Enterobacteriaceae. The record is from RNAcentral.